Molecule: ribosomal RNA, 404 nt
Filed under: uncultured bacterium
Lineage: Bacteria
Description: partial 16S ribosomal RNA
Rfam family: Bacterial small subunit ribosomal RNA
Source: RNAcentral
GAUGAACGCUGACAGAAUGCUUAACACAUGCAAGUCAACUGUGGCGGACGGGUGAGUAACGCGUAAAGAACUUGCCUCACGGAUAGGGACAACAUUUGGAAACGAAUGCUAAUACCUGAUACUGUGAGAGAGCUUUGCGUCCCAUUAGCUAGUUGGAGAGGUACCGGCUCACAAGGGCGAUGAUGGGUAGCCGGCCUGAGCGGGUGAUCGGCCACAAGGGGACGGGGACACCGCCCUUACUCCUUCGGGAGGCAGCAGUGAGGAAUAUUGGACAAUGGACCAAAGUCUGAUCCAGCAAUUCUGUGUGCAAGAUGAAGUUUUCGGAAUGAAAAGUGCUUUCAGUUGGGAAGCGGUACCAACAGAAGAAGUGACGGCUAAAUACGUGCCAGCAGCCGCGGUAAUUC